AACGGCGAGUGAAGAGGAAAGAGCUCAAAGUUGGAAACUGUUUGGCUUAGCUAAACCGUAUUGUAAACUGUAGAAACAUUUUCCUGGCACGCCGGAUUAAUAAGUCCUUUGGAACAAGGCAUCAUGGAGGGUGAGAAUCCCGUCUUUGAUCCGAGUAGUUGUCUUUUGUGAUAUGUUUUCAAAGAGUCAGGUUGUUUGGGAAUGCAGCCUAAAUUGGGUGGUAAAUCUCACCUAAAGCUAAAUAUUUGCGAGAGACCGAUAGCGAACAAGUACCGUGAGGGAAAGAUGAAAAGAACUUUGAAAAGAGAGUUAAACAGUAUGUGAAAUUGUUAAAAGGGAACCGUUUGGAGCCAGACUGGUUUGACUGUAAUCAACCUAGAAUUCGUUCUGGGUGCACUUGCAGUCUAUACCUGCCAACAACAGUUUGAUUUGGAGGAAAAAAUUAGUAGGAAUGUAGCCUCUCGAGGUGUUAUAGCCUACUAUCAUACUCUGGAUUGGACUGAGGAACGCAGCGAAUGCCUUUAGGCGAGAUUGCUGGGUGCUUUCGCUAAUAAAUGUUAGAAUUUCUGCUUCGGGUGGUGCUAAUGUUUAAAGGAGGAACACAUCUAGUAUAUUUUUU
Molecule: ribosomal RNA, 619 nt
Filed under: Mucor circinelloides
Lineage: Eukaryota; Fungi; Mucoromycota; Mucoromycetes; Mucorales; Mucoraceae
Description: partial large subunit ribosomal RNA
Rfam family: Eukaryotic large subunit ribosomal RNA
Source: RNAcentral